Molecule: long non-coding RNA, 281 nt
Filed under: Mytilus galloprovincialis (Mediterranean mussel)
Lineage: Eukaryota; Metazoa; Mollusca; Bivalvia; Mytilida; Mytilidae
Source: RNAcentral
UCUUUCCCAAUCCUCCUGUCUUAGCUUUUCGGAGACCAGCAAGUCUGAAAGACUUAUUUGUAAGAGCUGACGUCUCCUCAAAUAAAAGCUGUUCAAUUGCAGGAUGGUGCAAGUCAUGUGGUAACAGACGUUGUCUGACUUGUCAACAAAUACUAAAUACUCAAACAUUUACUUGCCACUCGACUGGGUCUGUGUACACUAUAUUUUGCAAUGUAACUUGCAAAACCCAGAAUGUUGUAUACCUCCUUCAGUGUCGAUGUGGCAUGCAGUAUGUUGGCGAG